CUUGCGUGAGUCUUCGGCGAAAAAAGGGAUGGACUGCAAAGGACGUGCGAGGCGUGCGGUGAAAACCCUAACCACCAAUCCCCUUGUCUCCUCGAGCCUCGCGUGCCCCUCCCCUUCCCAUUCGCCUCUCCCCUACCCAAACGCACUCCAGUGCCGCCGUGCUCCUCCGUGCACCUCCUCCACUUCGAUUUCUUCCUCCUUUGCCAGCAUGUGGCCACCACUGCCUCCCAUCCAGCUGCACCGCCGUCCAUCUCUCUACAUGUUUCUUGAUCCGCUGCUGCCGCGCGCUGUUCUUCUGGAUCGGACGGAGGUCGCCGCCAUAGGAGAGCCGGGGCGUCGUCGUCUUCAUGUGAGUCUGGAUCAGGGGAGGAUGAGGAUCCGGCACAGGUCACCACCAUAGGAGGGCAGGGUCGGCGUGGUCUUCGUGUUGGGCGCGGAGCAGGGGAGGAUGUGGAGGAUGGUUGUGACGGAAGGAGCGGCGAGAUCUUAGGUUGCACAUGUGCGGCUGCGGUAUCAUCUUCCUCCCAGUUAUUACUCCUUGAUCUAUGUUUUUGCUAAACACCUCUGUGCGGAUAGAGAGAAAAAGAGAAGGGAUGAAUCUUGAGGAAGAGUAUGGUGAAGAACAAGAUUCGAGGAUGUAAAUCUACCUGAUAUAUUGUUCACCGGGAUUGAUUAUUGUAGUGAUAUAUCUGAGAAUUUUAAUGAUCUAUCUGGUAGCAGGGCUGAUACGAUCAAUAACUAUUACCUUUGGUGUGCUUUCUCGAUGGACUAAUCUGAAGAUACUGGCUAGCUUGCACCACCGCGUCAUACAGUCUAGAAGCAAGGGCAAGGAUUAUAGGGAAAAUAAAGGAAAUUCGUCACCCGGAGGAAAUGCCAACCAAUACAUUUUUGUACUUCCUUUCUUAGAGGUAAAAUUAUUACUAUUUAUCGAAAGCGUUUUUGCUGCGUGUUCCCCUUUCUUAAUCUUCUAUUUGUUCAAAUGUACAUAACCGAGCUUAUAAUCCUUAUUACACAAUGAAUCUCACCAUUCUACCAUUUUAUUGAAAAUUUAUACCUGCAUAGUUCCGUUUUUCAUAUGGGUAAUCUUCUGUUGCCCUGAUUUGGUGUGCAUAUAGCAUGGGACAUUAUAGGCUUAUUUGUUUUAUCUUCGUUCAUGCACUAAUGCAUAAAUCUUUUGGUUAUGCCCUUAUUAUUUGGUCUAGAGGUAUGCAAUGACAACCAUGGCUUUAGUAUUCAGGUGAGUUUCAUUUAUAGACUGAAGAAUCCUUGGCAUAUUAUCCAAACUCUUUCAUCCUAGAUAUUAUGUCUGCCCAGUUAAGUACCUUAUACCAGUGCCUUAAUUAGCCUCUUCCGGCUAUUGACUGUAUGAAUUGUUCUAUUAGGACUCAGUUUUUCAAAGUUAUUAGGAUGUGGGCAUGUUUUUACUUUAGUUUGUAUAGUUUUGUGUUCUUUUGGCUUCAGGUUACUGCUGCACAGAAAGUACAGCUAACUCAGAUGAUGCAUGGAAAAAACUGCAGAUCUAGCAUAGUUUUUGUAUUCAGAUUUUGUAACUAAUUGUGUGAUGACCUUAUGUUAAAAUGCUUAUUUGUUCUCCAACUAGGCCAACAACGACUGCUAGCAAUGAUAUAUACAUAUCAACAAUUCUAAGGAAGUGCAUGUGUCCGGAUGCAUAUCAUGAUAUAUAUAUAUGUGUGUGUGCUUGAGCAUGUGACUAGAGGAGAUUCAGGAAGGGAUGAACUCAAAAUGAUCUGUGAUUUAAUUGGAAAAUACUCUUCAGCAUUUGAAACAUCUAAAGGUGAUCACUUAUGUUAUACAAUAUACCUAGCUCGAUGAUUGGAGCAGUCCCAGCCACUAAUUAGUGCUAAUUAGUACUCGAGUGUUAAAUCACUCAGAGUAUCAACACUCCCUCGAGACUUGGCUAUUAGCAUAGUAGUGCUAGGUCCUUGGAAUUCGUUCUUACUCCCUAUUUUCUUGAGUCUUUGGUUUCUCUUUAUUCACUCAUCGCUUUCUAUUUUCAUUAUCACUCUAUGUUCAUUUGGUAUCUUGGUUUCUCUUUGUUUAGUCUCCGCCUUCUUUCUCCGGUACCUUUUUUUCAUUUGUAUGUCUAAGUUAAGAAUGAGAGGCUAGAUAAACAAACAGGAAAAUGCUCACUUCGUUCAGGCCUUAGGGAUGCAUUCUAUUACUGUCCAUCAACAAGUUCAACUCCGACAAUGGUUCACCAAUAAUGUGGGCCGAUGCACCACGUCAGCAACCUCGACGAACUGACAGGCCAUUUUCCAACUGGGCCUGUUGUAAAUGACGAGAUCAUGAGGAUGUAAUCAGUAAUUUUUCUCCUGAAAAUGAAGAUGUACUUCGUCGUGCCACUAAUCUCAGCAAAAGAGUAUAUUAUGGUGCCCUCGUGCCACAGUGGAAUUGAAUCACAAAAAAUUCUACAGAUUUAUCAAAUCACGAAGGAGGUUAGUUUUUACCUGAGCAGCAACGGCGACCGCCAUGGUCUUGCUGGAGCCUCGCUUGUAGUGGAAAGUCACCAGCUUCAGGGAGUGCCGGCACAGCCAGAACAGACGCCACCUUCGGUGGGGAGUGAUAACAGCAACUGCAAGGAUUUGGCUCGCUGAUACAAGCAACAGCGGCGCCAUACCCCCAUCUGUAGCUCCGAGCUGUAGCAGGAGCUGCCGGUCCACCGAGAUGUGGAUGGAGCCGGCGAGCCGCUGUGCCUCCAAGCUGUCAGGCCACCAAGAUGCAGAUGGAGCCCCAGUGCCUCCGAGCUACAGCGAGAGCCGCUCCGCCGCCAAGCUGCAGCCUGAGCCACCGCGAAGAUGGAGCCGUGCUUUCUCUCCGGUACGAGUACAAUGGGGAAAGGGGAACGAAUCCAAUGAAUUGGUCGAUGGAACCAAGACCAGCAGUCAGCCAUGUGGCGAUCUCUGUGUUAUAUCCGCCACGCGUGUGUAUAGGUGUGCAGAGUGUGUGUGGUUUUUGUCACAGUGGCACAGUUGUGAAUUUAUCUUGGUGCUAAUUUGUAGCAUUGUUAUGAUCUGUGAUGUUUUGUCUGAUUAAUUUCCACUAUUCUUAGAAUAUAAGAGCAUCGACAGCCGC
This 3093-nucleotide ribosomal RNA is filed under the name Triticum aestivum (bread wheat). Its description in RNAcentral is "partial small subunit ribosomal RNA". The record is from RNAcentral. Lineage: Eukaryota; Viridiplantae; Streptophyta; Magnoliopsida; Poales; Poaceae.